This is a long non-coding RNA of Bos taurus (domestic cattle), 1383 nucleotides long. The record is from Ensembl. Lineage: Eukaryota; Metazoa; Chordata; Mammalia; Artiodactyla; Bovidae.
GUGACUGUGGGGCUCUAGGGCAGUGGUCCCCAAUUUGGCACCAGGGACCGAUUUCAUUGAAUACAAUUUUUCCGUGGACUAGGGCUCAGGAGAUAGUUUUGGGAUGAUUCAAAUGCAUUACAUUUAUUCUCCAAUUUCUUUCUUUUUCAUUAAAUUGAUUUUUUUUAAAUUUUAUUUAUUUUGGGGUGUGCUGGGUCUUUGUUGCUGCAUGGGUUUUGCUCUAGUUGGAGUGUGUGGCAUUCUCAUUGCAGUGGCUUCUCUUGUUGUGGAGCAAGGGCUCUAGAGCAUGUGGGCUCAGUAGCUUUGGCUCCUGGGCACUAGAGCACAGGCUUAAUAGUUGUGGUGCGUGGGCUUAAUUGGCUCCAUGGCAUGCGGGAUCUUCCCGGAUCAGGGGUAAAACCUGUGUCUUCUGCAUUGGCAGGCAGUUUCUUUUACCACUGAGCUACUGGGGAAGCCCAGUGCACUUUAUUUCUGAUCUAAUGCUGCCGCUGAUCUGACAGGAGGUACCAGUCCAUGGCCCGGAGGUUUUUCCCCCUUACCAUUUCAGCAAAAUUGCUUAAGACCACUAAUGACAUCCACAUUGUUAAUCCAGGGGUCAUUUCUCCUACAUUACCCAUUUGAUAGCUGAUUACUCCUUCCUCCUUGAAAUGCUCUCCACUAGACUUCCAGGACUACAACCAGUGGGGGACAUGCAGUUGUCAAUACUAUGGAUACAGUGUUCCUUUUUUCUCUCCCCUUCAACCUACAACUAAUUAGACAUCUGUAACGAAAGUGCCUCUGCACACACACCAAGACACCUAGAGAUGCACCCAUCUGUGUAUCUGAACGUGGGUGGACUGCACCCUGGAGAAGGCCACACCAAGGGAGUUGCGGUGAAGGUGGCAGCCAGUGGCAUCAGUUUCUCUGGCAGAGCAGGUGGAAAGGGAAAAAGGUGAGUGAACAUCCAGCUGGUGAUGGCGCAGCUGGAGUCCUCAGCAACACCCUGAGUCCUGAAGAGAGACCUCUGUGACUGGGAGGAUGGAAAGGAAAGAAGGCAGCCAAGGACAACUGAAGGUGUGGACUUCCUGCUGUUUGUCCCAGAAUUCCACUGAGACAUGUCCUCCCCACCCUGACCUCUCUCUGCUGGCAUUCCCUUAGUAGAGGACUCCCCUACUGGGCCAUGGGCACACUCAAAGUGCCAAGUGCUUACUGUAUACCUCCCCCACCCCAACUCCAUCACCAUCCUUUUUUUAACACUAGGUUUCUUAUGCAUAUGUGUGUGUGUUCAACCCAACUAUUUUCGACCCCAUGCAUGGACUGUAGCCCAUCAGGCUACUAUGUCUAUGGAAUUUUCCAGGCACAUGCACGUCUUCCCUAUUUAGCACCAGUAGAAUAAAUCAGAAU